CAGCGCGGCGCGGGCGGCGGAGCGGCGGGAUGCGGCAGUGCCGGGCCGCGGGGCUGGCGGGGCUGACCGCGGUGCUGCUGGUGGCUGUGAGCAGAGCCCAGGUGCAACAGGAGCCGUCGGCAGAGACCAGAGAGGGGGCUGCAGUCAACAUCACCUGCUCACACCCCAGCAUACAGCCCGGAGAUUACAUCCAUUGGUACCGUCAGCUCCAGGGCCAAGGCCCCGCAUUCCUUGUCAGCACAGCUAAAGACUCCAAGGAGGUGCCGGACCCGGAGGGGCAGCUGUGGGUGUCGGCAGACCGCCGCUUCAGCGUCCUGCGGCUCGCCCGGCCCCGGCUCGGGGACGCGGCGCUGUAUUACUGCGCCGUGGGCGCACGGGAAGCGAAGCCGGGGCUGCGGCCGGGCACGAACCGCUUGGGGCGGGGCGGGGGCACAGUGCCGUCCGGGCCCGCAGGGGGCGCUGCCUGCAUGGCCGCCAAACUCCAUCCUGACCGGGGUGCGCCGCCCUGAGCUCUCCACAGAAAUGAGCACGGCAUCCUUGGCAGCCACUCACUGAGGCCAGUGUCAGUCAGAAACAGCUGUGUUGCAGGUAGGCAGGCUGGCAAGACUGUUAACACCAGCUUUGUUGGACUACAGCAAGACAUCCCCACAGUUCUACUCCAUCUCCUACUCUCUUGUCCUUCCCCAGUGCAGUACAUAUGAGAGCAGUAGAAGCCCUGUUCAGCUACAGAGGCAAAGGUGAAGACAGGAGCUUCUACGGUAUGUCACGGCCUCUCAUUUUUCAGAGAAAGGAGAAGGAUCUCCAUAAACCUGCACUCUAUACCUGUCAGGAGCAAAGCUAUUCUAUGUGGGCAGCUCUGAAGGCCAUACAAAGUGGAAAGAAAAGUCAAAAGCUCAAAUAAGAUGCAGACAUCUUUAAUGAAUGUUUACAGAGGAAAAUGAAGUCACACUGAGCAAAGGCUCCACAGUGCAGGAUUCACACAGACCCAAAUCCGAGCUCAUGCAAGGCUUGUUCCUGCCUUUUUGGAAGGGAACAGAACGGUUCUGAGGAGCCUCAUAGCCCAUCGGAGAUGAAGAGAGGGAAAAAAAAGAAAAUGGAAAUAAAGGGUUGAGUAGGGGACACCACAAAGAGACAUGAGCCAUGUUUUCAGAAAGCAUGGCAUUGCCUCUUGCUCUCAACAUUUCCUAGAGCAUCGGAGUAGGGUCAAGCAGGGGCUUGAAGAUUCCUUCUUGAUCCAGCACUGUGUUCGU
Molecule: non-coding RNA, 1250 nt
Organism: Lagopus muta (rock ptarmigan)
Lineage: Eukaryota; Metazoa; Chordata; Aves; Galliformes; Phasianidae
Source: the annotation of a RefSeq genome assembly